This 404-nucleotide ribosomal RNA is filed under the name uncultured prokaryote. Its description in RNAcentral is "bacterial SSU rRNA". It matches the Rfam family "Bacterial small subunit ribosomal RNA", at positions 355 to 776 of the family's 1533-position model. The record is from RNAcentral. RNAcentral also lists the same sequence under 1 other name.
UGGGGAAUAUUGGACAAUGGGCGCAAGCCUGAUCCAGCCAUGCCGCGUGAGUGAUGACGGCCUUAGGGUUGUAAAGCUCUUUUACCUGGGAAGAUAAUGACGGUACCAGGAGAAUAAGCCCCGGCUAACUUCGUGCCAGCAGCCGCGGUAAUACGAAGGGGGCUAGCGUUGUUCGGAUUUACUGGGCGUAAAGGGCGCGUAGGCGGGCGAUUAAGUCAGGGGUGAAAUCCCACAGCUCAACUGUGGAACUGCCUUUGAUACUGAUUGUCUUGAGUCCGGGAGAGGUGAGUGGAACUGCGAGUGUAGAGGUGAAAUUCGUAGAUAUUCGCAAGAACACCAGUGGCGAAGGCGGCUCACUGGCCCGGAACUGACGCUGAGGCGCGAAAGCGUGGGGAGCAAACAGG